ACGUAGGGAGCGAGCGUUGUCCGGAAUUACUGGGUGUAAAGGGAGCGUAGGCGGGAAGGCAAGUUGGAUGUGAAAACUGUGGGCUUAACCGACAGACUGCAUUCAAAACUGUUUUUCUUGAGUGAAGUAGAGGCAAGCGGAAUUCCUAGUGUAGCGGUGAAAUGCGUAGAUAUUAGGAGGAACACCAGUGGCGAAGGCGGCUUGCUGGGCUUUUACUGACGCUGAGGCUCGAAAGUGUGGGGAGCAAACAG
This 251-nucleotide ribosomal RNA is filed under the name uncultured bacterium. RNAcentral describes it as "partial 16S ribosomal RNA". It matches the Rfam family "Bacterial small subunit ribosomal RNA", at positions 525 to 775 of the family's 1533-position model. The record is from RNAcentral.